GUGCUCAUUUCCGCAGCACAUACCCUAAGACUGGAACGAUAUAGAGAUUAGCGUGGCCUCUGCACAAGGAUGACAUGCAGAUUUUAUCCCUGAAAUCU
This 98-nucleotide small nuclear RNA is filed under the name Moschus moschiferus (Siberian musk deer). Lineage: Eukaryota; Metazoa; Chordata; Mammalia; Artiodactyla; Moschidae. The record is from RNAcentral.